AUUGAACGCUGGCGGCAGGCCUAACACAUGCAAGUCGAGCGGAUGAAGGGAGCUUGCUCCUGGAUUCAGCGGCGGACGGGUGAGUAAUGCCUAGGAAUCUGCCUGGUAGUGGGGGAUAACGUCCGGAAACGGGCGCUAAUACCGCAUACGUCCUGAGGGAGAAAGUGGGGGAUCUUCGGACCUCACGCUAUCAGAUGAGCCUAGGUCGGAUUAGCUAGUUGGUGGGGUAAAGGCCUACCAAGGCGACGAUCCGUAACUGGUCUGAGAGGAUGAUCAGUCACACUGGAACUGAGACACGGUCCAGACUCCUACGGGAGGCAGCAGUGGGGAAUAUUGGACAAUGGGCGAAAGCCUGGUCCAGCCAUGCCGCGUGUGUGAAGAAGGUCUUCGGAUUGUAAAGCACUUUAAGUUGGGAGGGAGGGCAGUAAGUUAAUACCUUGCUGUUUUGACGUUACCAACAGAAUAAGCACCGGCUAACUUCGUG
This 484-nucleotide ribosomal RNA is filed under the name uncultured bacterium. Its description in RNAcentral is "partial 16S ribosomal RNA". It matches the Rfam family "Bacterial small subunit ribosomal RNA", at positions 30 to 507 of the family's 1533-position model. The record is from RNAcentral.